RNAcentral lists this transfer RNA (63 nucleotides) under Monodelphis domestica (gray short-tailed opossum). It matches the Rfam family "tRNA", at positions 5 to 66 of the family's 71-position model. Rfam says of the family: Transfer RNA (tRNA) molecules are approximately 80 nucleotides in length. Their secondary structure includes four short double-helical elements and three loops (D, anti-codon, and T loops). Further hydrogen bonds mediate the characteristic L-shaped molecular structure. tRNAs have two regions of fundamental functional importance: the anti-codon, which is responsible for specific mRNA codon recognition, and the 3' end, to which the tRNAs corresponding amino acid is attached (by aminoacyl-tRNA synthetases). tRNAs cope with the degeneracy of the genetic code in two manners: having more than one tRNA (with a specific anti-codon) for a particular amino acid; and 'wobble' base-pairing, i.e. permitting non-standard base-pairing at the 3rd anti-codon position. Lineage: Eukaryota; Metazoa; Chordata; Mammalia; Didelphimorphia; Didelphidae. The record is from Rfam by way of RNAcentral.
AGGUGGUUCAGUGGAUAGAACACUGGACCUGGAAUCCAGAAGACCUGACUUCUAAUCCAGCCU